This 468-nucleotide ribosomal RNA is filed under the name uncultured bacterium. RNAcentral describes it as "partial 16S ribosomal RNA". It matches the Rfam family "Bacterial small subunit ribosomal RNA", at positions 28 to 507 of the family's 1533-position model. The record is from RNAcentral.
GACGAACGCUGGCGGCGUGCUUAACACAUGCAAGUCGAACGGAAAGGCCCUGCUUUUGUGGGGUGCUCGAGUGGCGAACGGGUGAGUAACACGUGAGUAACCUGCCCUUGACUUUGGGAUAACUUCAGGAAACUGGGGCUAAUACCGGAUAGGAGCUCCUGCUGCAUGGUGGGGGUUGGAAAGUUUCGGCGGUUGGGGAUGGACUCGCGGCUUAUCAGCUUGUUGGUGGGGUAGUGGCUUACCAAGGCUUUGACGGGUAGCCGGCCUGAGAGGGUGACCGGCCACAUUGGGACUGAGAUACGGCCCAGACUCCUACGGGAGGCAGCAGUGGGGAAUAUUGCACAAUGGGCGGAAGCCUGAUGCAGCAACACCGCGUGCGGGAUGACGGCCUUCGGGUUGUAAACCGCUUUCGCCGGUGACGAAGCGUGAGUGACGGUAAUGGGUAAAGAAGCACCGGCUAACUACGUG